This 2353-nucleotide long non-coding RNA is filed under the name Macaca fascicularis (crab-eating macaque). RNAcentral's name for it is "lncRNA (ENSMFAG00000052056.1)". Lineage: Eukaryota; Metazoa; Chordata; Mammalia; Primates; Cercopithecidae. The record is from RNAcentral.
AAAUGGGGCCCAGUUCUAUGUUUCUUUUUUCCACAUUCUAUAGGGACAUAUGAAAAUGGGGAAUAUCAGCUUAACCUGCAAUCAAUAAGCACCCAUUAAGUCUUAACAGAUAUUUAGCUCUUGCAUAUCCUCUUUCUAUGCCUUGAAUGCCUUGUGUCUACUCUUAAAAUAUUUUUAAGGCACUGGAGCAGGAAAGGCUGGAGAGAGAAAGGACGGAAAGAGGAAGGUUGGAGAGAGAGAGGUUAGAAAGGGAAAGGCUGGAGAGGGAGCAACUGGAACAAGAACAGCUGGAGAGAGAGAGACAGAACGGGAACAGCAGGAAGUCCUGGAUCGGGACAGGCAAGAAAGACAAGACAGACAGGCUGGAGAGACUGAAACGGGAGAGGCAAGAAAGGGAGUGACAAGAACAGUUAGAAAGGGAACAGCUGGAAUGGGAGAGAGAGUGCAGAAUAUCAAAUGCUGGCAUUGUCUUGGGACCACUUGCACCUCCACCUCCUCCACCACUCCCACCAAGGCCUGCACAGGCUUCAGUAGCACUCCCUCCUGGCCCAGGACUCCCUCCACCUCCUCCACUCCCAUCUCUUUCCCUCUGAGCUGGCUGUUUUUCUCUGGCCUUUACAACAGAAUGGAAGAGAAUCAUAUAAGAGUUCCUGUAACAGUUAUGCAGAAAAUACUAAAACCCAUCAGGCAAGAUCGCUGCACAUUGAAAUAUUUUCAUGUCAAGAUAAAAUAGCACAUUUUCCACAAUUCAUUGCUUAAAUAAAGAGGAGGAAGGCUUAGGAAGUUUUUUGCAGAGAGUGCUGAUAAAGAAUUGAGCAAGUUUCCUAUUGUAUUGUAAUGCUUCUCUCAGGUUUGCUCUUCCUAUCAUGUCUGAUAUUCCGUGAAUAAUUGAGAUCAGCCCUAUGUAAGUUCAGAUCAUAAUAUGUGGAACAAAUGGAAUUGUAAGUGCUUUCAAAGGAUAAUAUUUAGAAGAAAGUGUCAUAAAUUUGUUCAGCUUGAGGGAUUUUAGAACGAUGGAAAGUCUCUUGAGUUAGCCUUCAUGCAAUUUUGUAAAUUAAAACAUAAAAUUUGUCCAGAAUUUAAAGAUUUAGAUGCCUUCCUAAAUUCUUACAAUGCUUUACCACAUCUAAAGACUUCUACAUAACACAAACCAGUGGUCAAAUGUAAACACUAUAUUGCAGACUUACUGUAGAUUUUCCACCUUUUUAGAUUUAUGCAUGUGGGCAUUUUUAUAAUGUAAUUACAAUCACCAUGAAGUGAGCUUUUUAAAUUGCAGACAGUAAUGCAUGUGACACUAAUAUGUAGUGGCCUUUUCAAGGCCUAGUUCCAGAGAAAACAUUUUGUAGAGUAUAGGGGGGUGGGAAGAAGUGGAGAAAUAAUUUUUUAUUUGAAGUUGAUUUCUGCGCUAUCUUUUUCUCAAUUACCUGCAUGAAUAAUAAUGAGGAAUAUUUUGUGACUUUAAUUGGUAAACAUGUUACAAAACCAAGUACUUAAUCUUUUAUUUCAUGUCUUCAGCUAUUUGUAUUUUAUUUAUUUAUUUUAUUGUAUUGUAUUUUUGAGACGGAGUCUCACUCUGUCACCCAGGCUGGAGUGCAGUGGCGCGACCUCGGCUCACUGCAACCUCCACCUCCUGGGUUCACGCCUUUCUCCAGCCUCAAUUUCAAUGGUCUGAAACAUGAUUUUGAGCUUCACAUAAUAUCUUACUGUGGAACUCAAAGGUUUAAUCACUGAAUUUGGCAGUUGUUACCUAGGUACUCCUGCUGUUACACAGGUGUUUAGACACGGGUUCCUGAAUGAAGCUGCUUUUGAAUUCUGUUAUGUUGAAAUAUAAGAAAUAACAAUGAUGGCAGCAAUUAAGGCCACAGAAAUCAUUCGGUAAAGGAAAAACCAAUGAGGAGUUCUGCAGUUUUCUUUUAAUAAGUAAAGUGAGACUUGGGUUGUGGGAAGAAAGAAUUAGACACUCUACCUGUCACCGUGUGUGUGCACUCGUGCACAUGCUGUCUAUAUGGCAGCCACUCCCUUUUCUCUCCUUUGAAACUGGUAAGGUUAAAAUAGGGGAGAAAUCCUAUACGUGGCAAUGACACCUUUUUGGAAAUUUAAUAAAUCAAACUCUCCGGCCAGGUGGGGUGGCUCAUGCCUGUAACCCCUGCACUUUGGGAGGCCAAGACAGGCGGAUCAUGUGGUCAGGAGAGCGAGAACAUCCUGGCUAACACGGUGAAACCCCGUCUCUACUAAAAAAAAAAAAAAAAAAUUAGCUGGGCGUGGUGGCGGGUGCCUGUAGUCCCAGCUACCCGGGAGGCUGAGGCAGGAGAAUGGUGUGAACCCGGGAGGCAGAGCUUGCAGUGAGCUGAGA